UCCAUCUGUAGACUUUUAAAUGCA
This 24-nucleotide non-coding RNA is filed under the name Cricetulus griseus (Chinese hamster). The record is from RNAcentral. Lineage: Eukaryota; Metazoa; Chordata; Mammalia; Rodentia; Cricetidae.